RNAcentral lists this ribosomal RNA (450 nucleotides) under uncultured Alphaproteobacteria bacterium. Its description in RNAcentral is "bacterial SSU rRNA". It matches the Rfam family "Bacterial small subunit ribosomal RNA", at positions 9 to 507 of the family's 1533-position model. The record is from RNAcentral. Lineage: Bacteria; Pseudomonadati; Pseudomonadota; Alphaproteobacteria.
GAGUUUGAUCAUGGCUCAGAACGAACGCUGGCGGCAGGCUUAACACAUGCAAGUCGAACGCCCCGCAAGGGGAGUGGCAGACGGGUGAGUAACACGUGGGAACGUACCCUUUUCUACGGAAUAACCCAGGGAAACUUGGACUAAUACCGUAUGUGCCCUUCGGGGGAAAGAUUUAUCGGAAAAGGAUCGGCCCGCGUUGGAUUAGCUAGUUGGUGGGGUAAAGGCCUACCAAGCCGACGAUCCUUAGCUGGUCUGAGAGGAUGAUCAGCCACACUGGGACUGAGACACGGCCCAGACUCCUACGGGAGGCAGCAGUGGGGAAUAUUGGACAAUGGGCGCAAGCCUGAUCCAGCAAUGCCGCGUGAGUGAUGAAGACCUUAGGGUUGUAAAGCUCUUUUACCCGGGAUGAUAAUGACAGUACCGGGAGAAUAAGCUCCGGCUAACUCCGUG